This 957-nucleotide long non-coding RNA is filed under the name Equus asinus (donkey). RNAcentral describes it as "lncRNA (ENSEASG00005034363.1)". Lineage: Eukaryota; Metazoa; Chordata; Mammalia; Perissodactyla; Equidae. The record is from RNAcentral.
CUUUAUUAGCAUAAGGUUUCUGGGUGUGGAAGCCAAGAACCAUCAGGAAGAAAAGCCCAGUUCAGUUUGUCCUAUCAACCUAUUAAAGAAACCCUAGGGAAAAUGCGAGCGAAAUUCAUUACUCAAGAAAACAUUGGUCCGAAUUCAACACCAAUGUAUUCAACACAAGAUUCAACUCCCUUAAAAUUUUCUAUCUGCUUAAAACAAACCUCACCAACUCCCAAGUCCUGUCCCUGGGUGUGUAUGGUCUGCAGAGCAUAUAGGGAAUGUUUUGUUUUGUUUAACCGGAUAAUAAUCAGGGCGAGGAAGCGUUUCUUAAAUCCUCUGAGCUUAUCCCCGCCACUACCAAACAACCCGUUGGCCUCCACACUGUGGCGCCGGGGUCUUCCUGGGUUAUUUCCCAUACAGUGUAAUCCCGCCAGAGGCGAAGGGGCAUCUCAGCCCAGGCUCCAAUGAUGUCCAGGACAGAGGGCAGAUGUCUCAAGAGGAAACCUCCGCAGAGUCUCUCGCCCGGGCAAAGGGUGUCACAGGCAGGAGAAAAGCAGCGGACCAAGGCACAUGGGGGAGAUGACAGGCCACCGAGAGGGGCCGGUAUCCCAAGCACUCUGCUGUCACCGUCGGCACCCGGCGGCCGCCUUUACCUGCUCUGUUGCCGCCGCCAGCGCCGCGCGCUCCCCCUCACCAGGAGAAUCCGGAGUCGUCGUCGCUGCCGCUGCCACCGCCGCCGCCGCCGCCACCGAACUCCCCACCCCCGCCCCCUCAGGACUGGGGUCCAUAUAGAAGCAGAAGAGACACCAGAGCUCUCCACACGUGCACAGAGGAAAGGCCAUGUGAAGACACAGAGAGAUGGCAGCUGUCUACAAGCCAAGAAGAGAGCUCUCACCAGGAACAAGCCCUGCCAGCACCUUGAUCUUGGACUUCUAGCCUCCAGAACCGUGAGAAAAUAAACUUCUGCUA